This 387-nucleotide ribosomal RNA is filed under the name uncultured bacterium. Its description in RNAcentral is "bacterial SSU rRNA". It matches the Rfam family "Bacterial small subunit ribosomal RNA", at positions 29 to 401 of the family's 1533-position model. The record is from RNAcentral.
AGCGAACGUUAGCGGCGGGCCUAACACAUGCAAGUCGAACGCGAAAGGUCUUCGGACUGAGUAGAGUGGCGCACGGGUGAGUAACACGUAGGUAAUCUACCCUUUGGCGGGGGAUAACGUUCCGAAAGGAGCGCUAAUACCGCAUAAGACCACGGAGUCUCCGGACGCUGUGGGAAAAGGUGGCCUCUUCUUGAAAGCUACCACCGAAGGAUGAGCCUGCGUCCCAUCAGCUAGUUGGUAAGGUAAUGGCUUACCAAGGCGAAGACGGGUAGCUGGUUUGAGAGAAUGAUCAGCCACACUGGCACUGGAACACGGGCCAGACUCCUACGGGAGGCAGCAGUGAGGAAUAUUGGGCAAUGGGCGAAAGCCUGACCCAGCCACGCCGCG